This 28-nucleotide non-coding RNA is filed under the name Mus musculus (house mouse). Lineage: Eukaryota; Metazoa; Chordata; Mammalia; Rodentia; Muridae. The record is from RNAcentral.
UGUUAAGGUGUUACCGGCAUCAGUGAAA